CUAGCAGUAAACGGUGCACGCUUGGUGUGAGGGGAAUCGACCUCCCUUGUGCCGGAGCUAACGCGUUAAGCGUGCCGCCUGGGAAGUACGGUCGCAAGACUAAAACUCAAAGAAAUUGACGGGGACCCGCACAAGCGGUGGAGUAUGUGGCUUAAUUCGAUGCAACGCGAAGAACCUUACCAAGGCUUGACAUGCAUCUCUAAACACGUGAGAGCGUGUGACCCUUCGGGGAAUUUGCACAGGUGCUGCAUGGCCGUCGUCAGCUCGUGUCGUGAGAUGUUGGGUUAAGUCCCGCAACGAGCGCAACCCUUGUGACUAGUUGCCAGCACGUAAUGGUGGGAACUCUAGUCAGACUGCCCAGAUCAACUGG
RNAcentral lists this ribosomal RNA (370 nucleotides) under uncultured bacterium. Its description in RNAcentral is "bacterial SSU rRNA". It matches the Rfam family "Bacterial small subunit ribosomal RNA", at positions 796 to 1165 of the family's 1533-position model. The record is from RNAcentral.